CUCUAUGGCGAUACCACCCUGAACACACCAGAUCUCGUCUGAUCUUGGAAGCUAAGCAGGGUCAGGCCUGGUUAGUACUUGGAUGGCAGACAAGGCCUCUUGCCAUGCAGUCCAGGUUGGCCUUAAACU
This 129-nucleotide ribosomal RNA is filed under the name Chinchilla lanigera (long-tailed chinchilla). Lineage: Eukaryota; Metazoa; Chordata; Mammalia; Rodentia; Chinchillidae. The record is from RNAcentral.